This 1397-nucleotide ribosomal RNA is filed under the name uncultured bacterium. RNAcentral's name for it is "16S ribosomal RNA". It matches the Rfam family "Bacterial small subunit ribosomal RNA". The record is from RNAcentral.
AGAGUUUGAUCCUGGCUCAGGAUGAACGCUAGCUACAGGCUUAACACAUGCAAGUCGAGGGGCAGCAUGGUCUUAGCUUGCUAAGACCGAUGGCGACCGGCGCACGGGUGAGUAACGCGUAUCCAACCUCCCCCACAGUAGCGGAUAGCCCGGCGAAAGUCGGAUUAAUACGCUAUGUGGUGCAGUAUUGGCAUCAUGGCCGCACGAAAGAUUUAUCGCUGUGGGAUGGGGAUGCGUCUGAUUAGCUUGUCGGCGGGGUAACGGCCCACCGAGGCGACGAUCAGUAGGGGUUCUGAGAGGAAGGUCCCCCACAUUGGUACUGAGACACGGACCAAACUCCUACGGGAGGCAGCAGUGAGGAAUAUUGGUCAAUGGCCGGAAGGCUGAACCAGCCAAGUAGCGUGCAGGACGACGGCCCUACGGGUUGUAAACUGCUUUUAUAGGGGAAUAAAGUGUGGUACGUGUACCGUUUUGUAUGUACCCUAUGAAUAAGGACCGGCUAAUUCCGUGCCAGCAGCCGCGGUAAUACGGAAGAUGCGAGCGUUAUCCGGAUUUAUUGGGUUUAAAGGGUGCGUAGGCGGUGGUGUAAGUCAGCCGUGAAAUGUCGGGGCCCAACCCCGGCCUGCGGUUGAAACUGCAUUACUUGAAUGCGUUCGAGGUGCGUGGAAUUCGUGGUGUAGCGGUGAAAUGCUUAGAUAUCACGAAGAACUCCGAUUGCGAAGGCAGCGCACCAGGCCGUGAUUGACGCUGAGGCACGAAAGUGCGGGAAUCAAACAGGAUUAGAUACCCUGGUAGUCCGCACCGUAAACGAUGAAUGCUCAUUUUUGGCGAUACACAGUCAGAAACCAAGCGAAAGCAUUAAGCAUUCCACCUGGGGAGUACGCCGGCAACGGUGAAACUCAAAGGAAUUGACGGGGGCCCGCACAAGCGGAGGAACAUGUGGUUUAAUUCGAUGAUACGCGAGGAACCUUACCCGGGCUUGAACUGAGCAGGACGGUGCGCAGAGACGCGCUCUUUCUUCGGACCUGCUUGGAGGUGCUGCAUGGUUGUCGUCAGCUCGUGCCGUGAGGUGUCGGCUUAAGUGCCAUAACGAGCGCAACCCUCGCCGCCAGUUGCCAUCGGGUGAUGCCGGGCACUCUGGGGGGACUGCCAUCGCAAGAUGUGAGGAAGGUGGGGAUGACGUCAAAUCAGCACGGCCCUUACGUCCGGGGCUACACACGUGUUACAAUGGGGGGCACAGAGAGUUGCCGCAUCGCGAGUUGCGGCGGAUCAAGAAAUCCCCUCUCAGUUCGGACUGGAGUCUGCAACCCGACUCCACGAAGCUGGAUUCGCUAGUAAUCGCGCAUCAGCCAUGGCGCGGUGAAUACGUUCCCGGGCCUUGCACACACAGCCCGUCA